GCGCAUGUGGCGGAACGGUAGACGCGCCAGGUUCAGGACCUGGUGUCCGCAUGGGCGUGUGAGUUCGAAUCUCACCUUGCGCACCA
This 86-nucleotide transfer RNA is filed under the name Lachnospiraceae bacterium. RNAcentral's name for it is "tRNA-Leu". It matches the Rfam family "tRNA". Rfam says of the family: Transfer RNA (tRNA) molecules are approximately 80 nucleotides in length. Their secondary structure includes four short double-helical elements and three loops (D, anti-codon, and T loops). Lineage: Bacteria; Bacillati; Bacillota; Clostridia; Lachnospirales; Lachnospiraceae. The record is from RNAcentral.